CCGAGUUUACAACUCCCAAACCCCUGCUGAACAUACCUGUUUUGUUGCUUCGGCGGUGCCCUCGCUCUCGUGCGAGGCCCGCCAGAGGACCCAAACAAACUCUUUGAUUUUGAUCUAGGAUUUUACUUCUGAGUGAUAUACAAAAUAAAUCA
RNAcentral lists this unclassified non-coding RNA (152 nucleotides) under soil metagenome. RNAcentral describes it as "partial internal transcribed spacer 1". The record is from RNAcentral.